This 221-nucleotide long non-coding RNA is filed under the name Nicotiana benthamiana. RNAcentral's name for it is "long non-coding RNA (NBEN_LNC000642)". Lineage: Eukaryota; Viridiplantae; Streptophyta; Magnoliopsida; Solanales; Solanaceae. The record is from RNAcentral.
AUAAAAAUUUGUCCUCCAACUUAUAUGUUCUAGUCUUUAAUCAGAAAUUCUGGAACACACUGAUUGAUUUUGAUGUAUCCUAUUCAGUAUGAAAGCUCCAAAUGCUUGACUACUAGUGCCUUUGGUGUUUGCUUUUUAUCAGCGUUAAAUAGUGUCCGUUUAUAUGUGGUUUUAAAGAUGAAUCCUCAUGUAUCCUUCUCUUUUUAUUGGGAAUCUCUGUU